This 253-nucleotide ribosomal RNA is filed under the name uncultured bacterium. RNAcentral's name for it is "partial 16S ribosomal RNA". It matches the Rfam family "Bacterial small subunit ribosomal RNA", at positions 524 to 776 of the family's 1533-position model. The record is from RNAcentral.
GACGUAGGGCGCGAGCGUUGUCCGGAUUUAUUGGGCGUAAAGAGCUCGUAGGCGGUUUGUCGCGUCGUUCGUGAAAACUCACAGCUUAACUGUGAGCUUGCGGUCGAUACGGGCAGGCUAGAGUUCGGUAGGGGAGACUGGAAUUCCUGGUGUAGCGGUGGAAUGCGCAGAUAUCAGGAGGAACACCGGUGGCGAAGGCGGGUCUCUGGGCCGAUACUGACGCUGAGGCGCGAAAGCGUGGGGAGCGAACGGG